CAAAACGACUCUCGGCAACGGAUAUCUCGGCUCUCGCAUCGAUGAAGAACGUAGCGAAAUGCGAUACGUGGUGUGAAUUGCAGAAUCCCGUGAACCAUCGAGUUUUUGAACGCAGUUGCGCCCGAAGCCUUCUGGUUGAGGGCACGUCUGCCUGGG
Molecule: ribosomal RNA, 156 nt
Filed under: Garcinia ovalifolia
Lineage: Eukaryota; Viridiplantae; Streptophyta; Magnoliopsida; Malpighiales; Clusiaceae
Description: 5.8S ribosomal RNA
Rfam family: 5.8S ribosomal RNA
About the family: 5.8S ribosomal RNA (5.8S rRNA) is a component of the large subunit of the eukaryotic ribosome. It is transcribed by RNA polymerase I as part of the 45S precursor that also contains 18S and 28S rRNA.
Source: RNAcentral